This 465-nucleotide ribosomal RNA is filed under the name uncultured bacterium. RNAcentral describes it as "partial 16S ribosomal RNA". It matches the Rfam family "Bacterial small subunit ribosomal RNA", at positions 339 to 795 of the family's 1533-position model. The record is from RNAcentral.
CUACGGGUGGCAGCAGUGGGGAAUAUUGGACAAUGGGGGAAACCCUGAUCCAGCAAUGCCGCGUGUGUGAAGAAGGCCUGCGGGUUGUAAAGCACUUUCGGUUGGGAGGACUGCUUCUAGCACUAAUAUUGUUGGAAGUUGACGUUACCUUCAGAAGAAGCACCGGCUAACUCCGUGCCAGCAGCCGCGGUAAUACGGGGGGUGCAAGCGUUAAUCGGAAUUACUGGGCGUAAAGCGCGCGUAGGCGGCUAGAUCAGUCGGGUGUGAAAGCCCCGGGCUUAACCUGGGAACCGCAUCCGAUACUGUCUAGCUUGAGUACAGGAGAGGAGAGUGGAAUUCCACAUGUAGCGGUGAAAUGCGUAGAUAUGUGGAGGAACACCAAUGGCGAAGGCAGCUCUCUGGCCUGAUACUGACGCUGAGGUGCGAAAGCGUGGGGAGCAAACAGGAUUAGAUACCCGAGUAGUC